GAUGAACGCUGGCGGCGUGCCUAAUACAUGCAAGUCGAGCGAACAGACGAGGAGCUUGCUCCUUCGACGUUAGCGGCGGACGGGUGAGUAACACGUAGGUAACCUACCUAUAAGACUGGGAUAACUUCGGGAAACCGGAGCUAAUACCGGAUAAUAUUUCGAACCGCAUGGUUCGAUAGUGAAAGAUGGCUUUGCUAUCACUUAUAGAUGGACCUGCGCCGUAUUAGCUAGUUGGUAAGGUAACGGCUUACCAAGGCAACGAUACGUAGCCGACCUGAGAGGGUGAUCGGCCACACUGGAACUGAGACACGGUCCAGACUCCUACGGGAGGCAGCAGUAGGGAAUCUUCCGCAAUGGGCGAAAGCCUGACGGGGCAACGCCGCGUGAGUGAUGAAGGUCUUCGGAUCGUAAAACUCUGUUAUUAGGGAAGAACAAACGUGUAAGUAACUGUGCACGUCUUGACGGUACCUAAUCAGAAAGCCACGGCUAACUACGUG
RNAcentral lists this ribosomal RNA (497 nucleotides) under uncultured bacterium. RNAcentral's name for it is "partial 16S ribosomal RNA". It matches the Rfam family "Bacterial small subunit ribosomal RNA", at positions 28 to 507 of the family's 1533-position model. The record is from RNAcentral.